RNAcentral lists this unclassified non-coding RNA (413 nucleotides) under soil metagenome. Its description in RNAcentral is "partial contains 5.8S ribosomal RNA, internal transcribed spacer 2, and large subunit ribosomal RNA". The stretch from base 1 to 120 matches the Rfam family "5.8S ribosomal RNA", at positions 35 to 154 of the family's 154-position model. The record is from RNAcentral.
GAUGAAGAACGUAGCGAAAUGCGAUAAGUAAUGUGAAUUGCAGAAUUCAGUGAAUCAUCGAAUCUUUGAACGCACCUUGCGCUCUUUGGUAUUCCGAAGAGCAUGCCUGUUUGAGUGUCAUGAAAAUAUCAACCUUGACUUGGGUUUUGUGCUCUAGUCUCGGCUUGGAAUUGGGUGCUUGCCGCUUUUACGAGCGGCUCACCUUAAAUGUAUUAGCUGGAUCUGUCUUUGAGACUUGGUUUGACUUGGCGUAAUAAGUAUUUCGCUAAGGACAUUCUUCGGAGUGGCCUCGUUUCUAGGACGCUUGUCCGCUUUCCAAUACAAGUUCCACCUCGUGGACAUGACUUUUUAUUAUCUGGCCUCAAAUCAGGUAGGACUACCCGCUGAACUUAAGCAUAUCAAUAAGAGGAGGA